Molecule: ribozyme, 116 nt
Filed under: Aedes aegypti (yellow fever mosquito)
Lineage: Eukaryota; Metazoa; Arthropoda; Insecta; Diptera; Culicidae
Description: drz-agam-1 ribozyme
Rfam family: drz-agam-1 ribozyme
Source: Rfam by way of RNAcentral
UGCCCAGCAACUUCUAUCCCUACCUCCUCGUGGGACAGGCCGGGGUACGAGCAAUCUUAGGAAAGAUCGGAUAACCAAUUCCGGUGAGAACACUGGUCGUAUGCUGACAGGGAAUG